This 426-nucleotide ribosomal RNA is filed under the name uncultured bacterium. Its description in RNAcentral is "partial 16S ribosomal RNA". It matches the Rfam family "Bacterial small subunit ribosomal RNA", at positions 354 to 796 of the family's 1533-position model. The record is from RNAcentral.
GUCGAGAAUUUUGGGCAAUGGACGAAAGUCUGACCCAGCAAUGCCGCGUGCGGGAUGAAGGUCUUCGGAUUGUAAACCGCUGUCGAGGGGGACGAAAUAUGACGGUACCCCUGGAGGAAGCCACGGCUAACUACGUGCCAGCAGCCGCGGUAAUACGUAGGUGGCGAGCGUUGUUCGGAUUUAUUGGGCGUAAAGGGUCCGCAGGGGGUUGAUUAAGUCUGACGUGAAAUCUCUGAGCUCAACUCAGAAAUUGCGUUGGAGACUGGUUGACUAGAGUGUUGGAGAGGUAAUUGGAAUUCCAGGUGUAGCGGUGGAAUGCGUAGAUAUCUGGAAGAACAUCGAAAGCGAAGGCAGAUUACUGGACAACAACUGACCCUCAGGGACGAAAGCAUGGGGAGCAAACAGGAUUAGAAACCCCGGUAGUCC